Pygocentrus nattereri (red-bellied piranha) is the source of this 875-nucleotide long non-coding RNA. RefSeq lists it as uncharacterized. The record is from RefSeq and is a predicted model, not a curated record. The transcript is spliced from 3 exons. Lineage: Eukaryota; Metazoa; Chordata; Actinopteri; Characiformes; Serrasalmidae.
CCUCACUCUUAUGCUGUUUGAGCCACUGGUUAAGACGCCGGCUUUACUGGCAUCUUUCUGUUUUAUUCUUCAACUACAAAGCCUGAGCAGGACGGGCUCUCCUGAAGAAAGAACAAGGAGAUGAAGACAGGAGUCUGCAAAGGUACCACAGAGGACACAGAGGAGGCAGCAACUGUACUGAAGAUUACAUCCACGGUGCUGAAGAGUGACAGAAGAAUGCGCGUCGGACCAAGCAGUUGUCAUCAUCAAACCAACCAUCAGUUGAACCGCUAGAUGAACCACUAGACCUACUAGAAUGUGAACCACCAGAGGAACCACCAAACCAACCACCAAAGGAACCACCAAACCAGCCACCAAAGGAACUAGCAGAUCCCCCACCAAAGGAACCACCAGACCAACCAACAGACCAACCAUUAACCAGAAAAGCACAAUUGUAAUUUCCCCCUGCGUUGUCAGGUUGGUUUGACAUCCACUUGAUGUCAGAAACGCUAGUGUUGUCUGACCACUUCCAAGAGUCUCUGUAUAAGCCAAUCCAGGGAUGCACACUUGACAUAUAUGACAUGAUGUCUGUGUUCUCGGCUUCAUCUCUUGGGCAGGCAAGAUCUGUGUAGUGCUGUCUGCAGUAAGCUUGAGCCUCCUGCCAUGUCCUUUCAGCGUCAGAGAUGUAAAUGAACUUGGAAAUGCCAGUGCUCUUUGCUUCAAACAGAUUCAAACAGAUUAAAUGAAUUGUGCUGACUGAUUCUUUGUAAUGAAAUUGUGCAAAUGGAAAAUAACUGUGGAUAUUAUAGUUACCUUUUAUGAAUCUGUGCUAAGCAGUUCUAAAGAUUUUAAACACGUUUACACUAAAUUAAAGAUUUAUAGAUCACAAUUACAAA